This 432-nucleotide ribosomal RNA is filed under the name uncultured bacterium. Its description in RNAcentral is "partial 16S ribosomal RNA". It matches the Rfam family "Bacterial small subunit ribosomal RNA", at positions 28 to 507 of the family's 1533-position model. The record is from RNAcentral.
GAUGAACGCUGGCGGUAUGCUUAACACAUGCAAGUCGAACGGUCACUUCGGUUUUAGGGGCGUACGGGUGAGUAACGCGUGGGAAUCUGUCCUUAGGUCGGGGACAACAGUUAGAAAUGACUGCUAAUACCGGAUGUGUCUUUGGUUGAAAGAUUUAUUGCCUGAAAAAGAGCUCGCGUCAGAUUAGCUAGUAGGUGGUGUAAGAGACUACCUAGGCUCCGAUCUGUAGCUGGUCUGAGAGGACGAUCAGCCACACUGGAACUGAGACACGGUCCCGACGCCUGCGGGAGGCAGCAGUGGGGGAUUUAUCGGCAUGGGCGAGAGGCUGACGGGGCACGAGCGCGAGAGCGACGAAGGCUUUGGGGUCGUAAACCACUUUUCUCAAGGAAGAUGAUGACGGUACUUGAGGAAUAAGCACCGGCUAACUCUGUG